Molecule: ribosomal RNA, 699 nt
Filed under: uncultured Alphaproteobacteria bacterium
Lineage: Bacteria; Pseudomonadati; Pseudomonadota; Alphaproteobacteria
Description: bacterial SSU rRNA
Rfam family: Bacterial small subunit ribosomal RNA
Source: RNAcentral
AGCGAACGCUGGCGGCAGGCCUAAUACAUGCAAGUCGAGCGCACCUUCGGGUGAGCGGCGGACGGGUGAGUAACGCGUGGGAACGUGCCCUUUGGUACGGGAUAACUGAGGGAAACUUCAGCUAAUACCGUAUGUGCCCUACGGGGGAAAGAUUUAUCGCCAUUGGAGCGGCCCGCGUUGGAUUAGGUAGUUGGUGGGGUAAAGGCCCACCAAGCCGACGAUCCAUAGCUGGUCUGAGAGGAUGAUCAGCCACACUGGGACUGAGACACGGCCCAGACUCCUACGGGAGGCAGCAGUAGGGAAUCUUGCGCAAUGGGCGAAAGCCUGACGCAGCCAUGCCGCGUGAAUGAUGAAGGUCUUAGGAUUGUAAAAUUCUUUCACCGGGGAAGAUAAUGACGGUACCCGGAGAAGAAGCCCCGGCUAACUUCGUGCCAGCAGCCGCGGUAAUACGAAGGGGGCUAGCGUUGCUCGGAAUUACUGGGCGUAAAGGGCGCGUAGGCGGAUGUUUAAGUCGGGGGUGAAAGCCCGGGGCUCAACCUCGGAAUUGCCUUCGAUACUGGACAUCUUGAGUAUGGGAGAGGUGAGUGGAACUCCGAGUGUAGAGGUGAAAUUCGUAGAUAUUCGGAAGAACACCAGUGGCGAAGGCGACUCACUGGCCCGUUACUGACGCUGAGGCGCGAAAGCGUGGGGAGCAAACAG